Molecule: long non-coding RNA, 978 nt
Filed under: Vigna radiata
Lineage: Eukaryota; Viridiplantae; Streptophyta; Magnoliopsida; Fabales; Fabaceae
Description: long non-coding RNA (VRAD_LNC004286)
Source: RNAcentral
UUUUAAAAAGAUUUGUUAGUUGAUGAUAUUUUAAAAAGUAGUUAAGAGAGAAUAAGAGAGGAAAUCUUAAUGGUUUUAGAGAUAAACUAAGAGAUUUUAUUAAAACUAAAAAGUUAGAGAUAGAAUAGAAGAGGAUAAAAAGGAGAAGAGUAAAAAGGGGCGGGCAUUUUGUUACCCUAUAAGGAAAAAACGAAAAUUAGAAAGAUAAGGGAAAGAAAAGACUUUUUCUAGGAGAAAAUAUAGCCGAGAACGGGGCAUCAAAAAUGGGAGGACCAUUAGUGAUGUGAAACUUUCUUAGUGAUCUUGGAAACAAAAAUCAUACGAGACCAGGUAAGGGGAGUUACUAGAAUCAUCUUAUGUAUAAGGGAAGUGACUAAAAUUAUCUUAUGUAUGUAGGGUAAGGGGAAUGACUAGAAUCAUCUUGUGUAUGUAGGGUAAGGGGAGUGACUAGAAUUAUCUUGUGUAUGUAGGGUAAGGGGAGUGACUAGAAUUACCUUUUGUGUGUAGGGUUUGACAUUGUAUGAUAUUCUUUAUUAUAUGUUGCAAUCUGUAUAGUUGUUGGUGUGUAUGGUAAAUUUGGAGUGAUGAUGAUGAUGGGUGACGUGAGGGUGGGUGAAAGUGGGAGAGAGAAGAAGAGUUAAGUGUGAUGCGGGAAAGAGAUUCUCUUCGGCCGUGUGAUGCGGGAAGAUGAUGGGUUGGUAGUGAUGACUCUUUUGGUCGUGUGAUGAGGAAAAGAUAUUCUCUUGGGCUGUGUGAUACGAGAAGAGGGUGUCAUAUGAAUUGUAAUGAAUUGGUUAUGAUGAUUAGGUGGUGUGGCAGUGUAGAGGACAUAGACCACUAAGUUGUGAUGUUAUUGUUGUGAUGUUAAUGUUGUGAUGAUAGAUGUUUAUGAUUUGGUUAUUCUUGUAGUUAAGAUGAUUAUUGUAUAUUGUGUGAUAUAAUAAUUUUGGUUGCUCACCCUGAAAGGUUGUGGUUGUU